UCCUACGGGGGGCAGCAGUGAGGAAUAUUGGUCAAUGGGCUUACGCCUGAACCAGCCAAGUCGCGUGAGGGAAGACUGCCCUAUGGGUUGUAAACCUCUUUUGUCAGGGAGCAAUUGGCGCUACGUGUAGCGUUAUCGAGAGUACCUGAAGAAAAAGCAUCGGCUAACUCCGUGCCAGCAGCCGCGGUAAUACGGAGGAUGCGAGCGUUAUCCGGAUUUAUUGGGUUUAAAGGGUGCGUAGGCGGAAUGCCAAGUCAGCGGUAAAAUCGCGGGGCUCAACCUCGCUCGGCCGUUGAAACUGGCGU
RNAcentral lists this ribosomal RNA (305 nucleotides) under uncultured bacterium. Its description in RNAcentral is "bacterial SSU rRNA". It matches the Rfam family "Bacterial small subunit ribosomal RNA", at positions 337 to 639 of the family's 1533-position model. The record is from RNAcentral.